CCUACGGGGUGCACCAGUGGGGGAUAUUGCACAAUGGGCGCAAGCCUGAUGCAGCCAUGCCGCGUGUAUGAAGAAGGCCUUCGGGUUGUAAAGUACUUUCAGCGGGGAGGAAGGUGUUGAGGUUAAUAACCUCAGCAAUUGACGUUACCCGCAGAAGAAGCACCGGCUAACUCCGUGCCAGCAGCCGCGGUAAUACGGAGGGUGCAAGCGUUAAUCGGAAUUACUGGGCGUAAAGCGCACGCAGGCGGUCUGUCAAGUCGGAUGUGAAAUCCCCGGGCUCAACCUGGGAACUGCGUUCGGAACUGGCAGGCUAGAGUCUUGUAGAGGGGGGUAGAAUUCCGGGUGUAGCGGUGAAAUGCGUAGGGAUCUGGAGGAAUACCGGUGGCGAAGGCGGCCCCCCGGACAAAGACUGACGCUCAGGUGCGAAAGCGUGGGGAGCAAACAGGAUUAGAUACCCGGGUAGUC
RNAcentral lists this ribosomal RNA (465 nucleotides) under uncultured bacterium. RNAcentral describes it as "bacterial SSU rRNA". It matches the Rfam family "Bacterial small subunit ribosomal RNA", at positions 338 to 795 of the family's 1533-position model. The record is from RNAcentral.